GAUGAAGAACGCAGCGAAAUGCGAUAAGUAGUGUGAAUUGCAGAAUUCAGUGAAUCAUCGAAUCUUUGAACGCACAUUGCGCCCCUUGGUAUUCCAUGGGGCAUGCCUGUUCGAGCGUCAUUUGUACCUUCAAGCUUUGCUUGGUGUUGGGUGUUGUCUCGCCUUUGCGUGUAGACUCGCCUUAAAAUAAUUGGCAGCCGGCGUAUUGAUUUCGGAGCGCAGUACAUCUCGCGCUUUGCACUCAUAACGACAGCGUCCAAAAGUACAUUUUACACUCUUGACCUCGGAUCAGGUAGGGAUACCCGCUGAACUUAAGCAUAUCAAUAAGCGGAGGA
RNAcentral lists this unclassified non-coding RNA (335 nucleotides) under soil metagenome. Its description in RNAcentral is "partial contains 5.8S ribosomal RNA, internal transcribed spacer 2, and large subunit ribosomal RNA". The stretch from base 1 to 120 matches the Rfam family "5.8S ribosomal RNA", at positions 35 to 154 of the family's 154-position model. The record is from RNAcentral.